This is a long non-coding RNA of Penaeus indicus, 422 nucleotides long. RefSeq lists it as uncharacterized. The record is from RefSeq and is a predicted model, not a curated record. The transcript is spliced from 2 exons. Lineage: Eukaryota; Metazoa; Arthropoda; Malacostraca; Decapoda; Penaeidae.
AGCACCCAGCUGAACCCCCUCGAGGCCUUGACCAAAGCUUUCAAACAGACCACAGAGGAAGGCAAGAUGAGCGGCCGCGCCAUGAAAUACCCCUACACCCUUUCGGCCAAGUUGGCGCAGUUCCCAUUCUCGUACUACGUCAAGAACCAGUGGGUGUUCAAGUACUACCUCAUUGGUGUCGCCGUCUCCAUUCCCGUGUUCAGCUGGUUCCAGAAGCAAGCUUGCUCGCCUGCCAACAAGGCAAAGUGGGAAGCGAAGGGAAAGGAAGAGCACUAAACGGGAGAUGGAAGAGAAUUAACGCUAAACACCGAGAGAGACGGAAGAGAGAAGAAGAGGGAAUAAGGGAGAAUAAGAGAAGAAAGAAGAAGAGGAGAGGAGAGAGAUGAUGAUGAAAAGGAAAGAGACGGAAGAGAGAAGAAGAG